This 301-nucleotide ribosomal RNA is filed under the name uncultured bacterium. RNAcentral describes it as "partial 16S ribosomal RNA". It matches the Rfam family "Bacterial small subunit ribosomal RNA", at positions 509 to 807 of the family's 1533-position model. The record is from RNAcentral.
CAGCAGCCACGGUAAUACGUAGGUGGCAAGCGUUGUCCGGAAUUAUUGGGCGUAAAGGGCUCGCAGGCGGUCUCUUAAGUCUGAUGUGAAAGCCCCCGGCUCAACCGGGGAGGGUCAUUGGAAACUGGGAAACUCGAGUGCAGAAGAGGAGAGUGGAAUUCCACGUGUAGCGGUGAAAUGCGUAGAGAUGUGGAGGAACACCAGUGGCGAAGGCGACUCUCUGGUCUGUAACUGACGCUGAGGAGCGAAAGCGUGGGGAGCGAACAGGAUUAGAUACCCGCGUAGUCCCUGUCUCUUAUAC